ACUCCUACGGGAGGCAGCAGUGGGGAAUAUUGCACAAUGGGCGCAAGCCUGAUGCAGCAACGCCGCGUGAGGGACGACGGCCUUCGGGUUGUAAACCUCUUUUAGCAGGGAAGAAGCCUUCGGGUGACGGUACCUGCAGAAAAAGCGCCGGCUAACUACGUGCCAGCAGCCGCGGUAAUACGUAGGGCGCAAGCGUUAUCCGGGAAUUAUUGGGCGUAAAGAGCUCGUAGGCGGUCUGUCGCGUCUGCUGUGAAAACCCGAGGCUCAACCUCGGGCCUGCAGUGGGUACGGGCAGACUAGAGUGCGGUAGGGGAGAUUGGAAUUCCUGGUGUAGCGGUGGAAUGCGCAGAUAUCAGGAGGAACACCGAUGGCGAAGGCAGAUCUCUGGGCCGUAACUGACGCUGAGGAGCGAAAGGGUGGGGAGCAAACAGGCUUAGAUACCCUGGUAGGCGUAGU
RNAcentral lists this ribosomal RNA (456 nucleotides) under uncultured bacterium. RNAcentral's name for it is "bacterial SSU rRNA". It matches the Rfam family "Bacterial small subunit ribosomal RNA", at positions 335 to 803 of the family's 1533-position model. The record is from RNAcentral.